This 892-nucleotide ribosomal RNA is filed under the name Bacillus licheniformis. Its description in RNAcentral is "bacterial SSU rRNA". It matches the Rfam family "Bacterial small subunit ribosomal RNA", at positions 57 to 931 of the family's 1533-position model. Lineage: Bacteria; Bacillati; Bacillota; Bacilli; Caryophanales; Bacillaceae. The record is from RNAcentral.
GCAGUCGAGCGGACCGACGGGAGCUUGCUCCCUUAGGUCAGCGGCGGACGGGUGAGUAACACGUGGGUAACCUGCCUGUAAGACUGGGAUAACUCCGGGAAACCGGGGCUAAUACCGGAUGCUUGAUUGAACCGCAUGGUUCAAUCAUAAAAGGUGGCUUUUAGCUACCACUUGCAGAUGGACCCGCGGCGCAUUAGCUAGUUGGUGAGGUAACGGCUCACCAAGGCGACGAUGCGUAGCCGACCUGAGAGGGUGAUCGGCCACACUGGGACUGAGACACGGCCCAGACUCCUACGGGAGGCAGCAGUAGGGAAUCUUCCGCAAUGGACGAAAGUCUGACGGAGCAACGCCGCGUGAGUGAUGAAGGUUUUCGGAUCGUAAAACUCUGUUGUUAGGGAAGAACAAGUACCGUUCGAAUAGGGCGGUACCUUGACGGUACCUAACCAGAAAGCCACGGCUAACUACGUGCCAGCAGCCGCGGUAAUACGUAGGUGGCAAGCGUUGUCCGGAAUUAUUGGGCGUAAAGCGCGCGCAGGCGGUUUCUUAAGUCUGAUGUGAAAGCCCCCGGCUCAACCGGGGAGGGUCAUUGGAAACUGGGGAACUUGAGUGCAGAAGAGGAGAGUGGAAUUCCACGUGUAGCGGUGAAAUGCGUAGAGAUGUGGAGGAACACCAGUGGCGAAGGCGACUCUCUGGUCUGUAACUGACGCUGAGGCGCGAAAGCGUGGGGAGCGAACAGGAUUAGAUACCCUGGUAGUCCACGCCGUAAACGAUGAGUGCUAAGUGUUAGAGGGUUUCCGCCCUUUAGUGCUGCAGCAAACGCAUUAAGCACUCCGCCUGGGGAGUACGGUCGCAAGACUGAAACUCAAAGGAAUUGACGGGGCCCGCACAAGCG